This is a long non-coding RNA of Nicotiana tabacum (common tobacco), 1302 nucleotides long. RefSeq lists it as uncharacterized. Lineage: Eukaryota; Viridiplantae; Streptophyta; Magnoliopsida; Solanales; Solanaceae. The record is from RefSeq and is a predicted model, not a curated record.
CAUUUCAAGCUCCUUUCUUCUUCUGCUAUUGAGAUGAUAUAUGCUGAAAAUGUACGUCCCAUUUCCCCCUCAUAUAUAGUCCUCUUAUUUCUCUCUAAUUAUAUGGCUAAAAAUAUAAGAAAUUUUUAAACUUUGAUGAUGGGCCAUCCUUAGUGGAACUUCAGCAGGAGGGUUGGGUGCAAUCCUACAUUGUGACAAAUUCAGACUUUUUUUCUCCUUGACUGCUAGAGUUAAAUGAAUCUCUGAUGCUGGUUUCUUUAUUAAUGCGGAUCUGCCAAGAACCUACCACUCUCUAGCACAUUCUUGAGCUUAGACCCAAGUUUGUGCUUCUUCCCUCAGUAUAUGCAGCACCACAUAUUUGCACGCCACUUUUCAUCAUUAAUUCGGCUUAUGAUUCUUGGCAGAUAAACAACAUUUUGGUUCCCGAAUGUGUUGCUGACCCUGAACAUGUUUGGGAUACAUGCAAGAAAGAUAUAAAUAAAUGCUCACCAAGUCAAAUCCAAUCUCUCCAAGAUUUUAGGUCGACAUUUUUAGAGGCAUUGAACGAUUUAGGACCAAGUAUAUCAAGAGGUUAUUUCAUUUCUUCUUGCCAUUUCCACCAUGGCAUUGAAAUACAAAGCUAUUGGUCCAACAACAACUCUCCAACAAUAGCAAACAAGACAAUUGUUGAAGCUGUUGGAGACUGGUCUUUUGGUAGAAGUGGAUUCCAAGGGGUUUACUGCCCCUAUCCUUGUGGCAAAUAUUGCCAGUAGAGGUUGCUCUUAUUUUUUUUCGUAAACAAGUGGAGUAACUAGUGUAAAGCUACUCAUGUAUUAUUGCAAAAUUGUAAUUUUUGUUUUUGUUUUCACCUCAACAUGUUUUGAUUGAGCAAAUUAUAUUUUUUGUCUUCACACGUUUUGAUCGAACAACUUUUUUCCCUUAAAAACAGAUUUGCUAAUUGGAAAGUUUAUAUCAUUCCAAAUAAAAUUUCGUCAUCUGUAAUAAUCAAUUAGCAAAAAAUUGCAUGCGAUGAAUGUUUCCUCUCCUUUUCUGAAACUCCAAAAGGAGCAAAUAAAGUCGGACCUUACGUUACAGUAUUAAGGACCUAUUUAUGAGCCAUUUCUUGUCUCACAUAAAAUUGAUAAAGCAUUACCAAUUAGAACCAUAUUGUUUACCAGACACAACUUGACUAGUAAAUUGCGUAAGCGAACAUAAUUUUUAUUUAUUUCUUGAAGUAUAUCUAUACUAUAAUUUGUGGAAAUAUCUAUUUAAUGAUUUUUUUUUUGUAUUUCGUACCCCUAAUGUAUGUAAUAAAAGGUCCAU